UGGGAUUAAAGGUGUGCACCAUAAUGCCAA
Molecule: non-coding RNA, 30 nt
Filed under: Rattus norvegicus (Norway rat)
Lineage: Eukaryota; Metazoa; Chordata; Mammalia; Rodentia; Muridae
Source: RNAcentral